Molecule: long non-coding RNA, 223 nt
Organism: Sinocyclocheilus anshuiensis
Lineage: Eukaryota; Metazoa; Chordata; Actinopteri; Cypriniformes; Cyprinidae
Exons: 3
Source: RefSeq, a predicted model, not a curated record
CCUGCUGACCAGCGGUUCUGUCCAUAUCAUCGUACAUGGCGCACCUCAGAUGAAGGAUGCGGAUAGGGAGAUUGACCUGAUGGAAAAAGUAGGGGGUUGGGUAAAUUUGAGCUGUGAGGUGAGAGGUUACCCUAGACCCGCCAUCACCUGGAGCAUCACUGGCAGUCAGUCGCAAAGCUGGCAUGAGGUUGUUAAAAGAGAGACAGAGGAUCAAGUCCACAGC